AGUGAACGCUGGCGGUAGGCCUAACACAUGCAAGUCGAACGGCAGCACCGUAAGAGCUUGCUCUUACGGGUGGCGAGUGGCGGACGGGUGAGGAAUACAUCGGAAUCUACUUUUUCGUGGGGGAUCACGUAGGGAAACUUACGCUAAUACCGCAUACCACCUACGGGUGAAAGCAGGGGAUCUUCGGACCUUGCGCGAUUGAAUGAGCCGAUGUCGGAUUAGCUAGUUGGCGGGGUAAGGGCCCACCAAGGCGACGAUCCGUAGCUGGUCUGAGAGGAUGAUCAGCCACACUGGAACUGAGACACGGUCCAGACUCCUACGGGAGGCAGCAGUGGGGAAUAUUGGACAAAGGGCGCAAGCCUGAUCCAGCCAUACCGCGUGGGUGAAGAAGGCCUUCGGGUUGUAAAGCCCUUUUGUUGGGAAAGAAAAGCAGCAGGUUAAUACCCCGCUGUUCUGACGGUACCCAAAGAAUAAGCACCGGCUAACUUCGUG
This 492-nucleotide ribosomal RNA is filed under the name uncultured bacterium. RNAcentral's name for it is "partial 16S ribosomal RNA". It matches the Rfam family "Bacterial small subunit ribosomal RNA", at positions 29 to 507 of the family's 1533-position model. The record is from RNAcentral.